RNAcentral lists this ribosomal RNA (520 nucleotides) under uncultured bacterium. RNAcentral's name for it is "bacterial SSU rRNA". It matches the Rfam family "Bacterial small subunit ribosomal RNA", at positions 120 to 674 of the family's 1533-position model. The record is from RNAcentral.
GGGAAUCUGCCCUUGGGUUCGGAAUAACAGUUAGAAAUGACUGCUAAUACCGGAUGAUGUCUUCGGACCAAAGAUUUAUCGCCCAAGGAUGAGCCCGCGUAGGAUUAGGUAGUUGGUGGGGUCAUGGCCCACCAAGCCGACGAUCCUUAGCUGGUCUGAGAGGAUGAUCAGCCACACUGGGACUGAGACACGGCCCAGACUCCUACGGGAGGCAGCAGUGGGGAAUAUUGGACAAUGGGCGAAAGCCUGAUCCAGCAAUGCCGCGUGAGUGAUGAAGGCCUUAGGGUUGUAAAGCUCUUUUACCCGGGAUGAUAAUGACAGUACCGGGAGAAUAAGCUCCGGCUAACUCCGUGCCAGCAGCCGCGGUAAUACGGAGGGAGCUAGCGUUGUUCGGAAUUACUGGGCGUAAAGCGUGCGUAGGCGGUUAUUCAAGUCAGAGGUGAAAGCCCGGGGCUCAACCCCGGAACUGCCUUUGAAACUAGAUAGCUAGAAUCUUGGAGAGGUCAGUGGAAUUCCGAGU